AAACCCAGAUGGAAUUAAUAAAACACAGGCUAACCGCCAUACAACCGCUUUGAGAUUCAGGUUCUACACUUCAACUUAAGCCCUGAUAAAAGAAAAACACCCUAACAGACUACUCAAGGAAGCAAUACAUAAUUUAAAAGCUUAUAUAUUCAGCCACUACGUUCCAGGGGAGAGCAUCGAUACGUAGAGCUCUUCACUUGACCAAAGCCUUCCACAUUCGGGCUGGAAGGGACAAGAGUCGCCACAUGAGGGGAGCACUAGCCUCAUGAUCUGCAUUGGAGGAGUCAUUGUUGAGAUCAUUAGUCUCCUCCUGAAGCAGUUCACCAUCGAAUAUCUCUCCCAUCCCAAAGUUGGCAGGAGGAUGAGCAUCAAACAAAAGGCCCAUAUCUCUGGCCAACAUGAACUGUUUCUCUCCAAAGGAACCUGGAGUUUCUGCAAAGAGACUCAUAUUAUCCAAACCAUAGCGGGCAAGGUACGCCGCUGUUCCAUUCUGCACUAUUGGAAUACGAGUAAUUUCUCGAACAGUGGUUCCAAUCUUGAAGUUGUUGGAGUGUAGAGUAUUAAAGAGGCGAAGGACUUCCUGCACAUUCUCCUGCGG
Molecule: long non-coding RNA, 598 nt
Filed under: Daucus carota (carrot)
Lineage: Eukaryota; Viridiplantae; Streptophyta; Magnoliopsida; Apiales; Apiaceae
Description: long non-coding RNA (DCAR_LNC000044)
Source: RNAcentral